RNAcentral lists this ribosomal RNA (630 nucleotides) under Rhodobacter sp. JA632. RNAcentral describes it as "bacterial SSU rRNA". It matches the Rfam family "Bacterial small subunit ribosomal RNA", at positions 97 to 762 of the family's 1533-position model. Lineage: Bacteria; Pseudomonadati; Pseudomonadota; Alphaproteobacteria; Rhodobacterales. The record is from RNAcentral.
GGCGGACGGGUGAGUAACGCGUGGGAACGUGCCCUUUGCUACGGAAUAGCCCCGGGAAACUGGGAGUAAUACCGUAUGUGCCCUUCGGGGGAAAGAUUUAUCGGCAAAGGAUCGGCCCGCGUUGGAUUAGGUAGUUGGUGGGGUAAUGGCCUACCAAGCCGACGAUCCAUAGCUGGUUUGAGAGGAUGAUCAGCCACACUGGGACUGAGACACGGCCCAGACUCCUACGGGAGGCAGCAGUGGGGAAUCUUAGACAAUGGGGGAAACCCUGAUCUAGCCAUGCCGCGUGAGCGAUGAAGGCCUUAGGGUUGUAAAGCUCUUUCAGGUGGGAAGAUAAUGACGGUACCACCAGAAGAAGCCCCGGCUAACUCCGUGCCAGCAGCCGCGGUAAUACGGAGGGGGCUAGCGUUGUUCGGAAUUACUGGGCGUAAAGCGCACGUAGGCGGAUCAGAAAGUCAGAGGUGAAAUCCCAGGGCUCAACCUUGGAACUGCCUUUGAAACUCCUGGUCUUGAGGUCGAGAGAGGUGAGUGGAAUUCCGAGUGUAGAGGUGAAAUUCGUAGAUAUUCGGAGGAACACCAGUGGCGAAGGCGGCUCACUGGCUCGAUACUGACGCUGAGGUGCGAAAGCGU